UCAAGCAACUAAGCGCAUACGGUGGAUGCCUUGGCAGUCAGAGGCGAUGAAAGACGUGGAAGCCUGCGAUAAGGCUCGGGGAGCUGGCAAACAAGCUGUGAUCCGGGCAUUUCUGAAUGGGGAAACCCACCGACUUUCGGGUCGGUACCUUACACUGAAUCCAUAGGUGUAAGGGGCGAACCGGGGGAACUGAAACAUCUAAGUACCCGGAGGAAAGGACAUCAACCGAGACUCCGCUAGUAGUGGCGAGCGAACGCGGACCAGGCCAGUGGCAUCGACACGGGAACCGGAACCGUCUGGAAAGGCGGGCGAGAGUGGGUGACAGCCCCGUACGGAUCAAUCCUUGUCGGUGUCCUCGAGUAGGGCGGGGCACGUGAAACCCUGUCUGAACGUGGGGGGACCACCCUCCAAGCCUAAGUACUCCUUACCGACCGAUAGUGAACUAGUACCGUGAGGGAAAGAUGAAAAGUACCCCGAUGAGGGGAGUGAAACAGUACCUGAAACCGGAUGCUUACAAGCUGAGGGAGCUCUUCGGAGUGACCUCGUACCUUUUGUAUAAUGGGUCAACGACUUAGUGUUGCAUGCAAGCUUAAGCCGAUAGGUGUAGGCGUAGCGAAAGCGAGUCUGAAUAGGGCGACUGAGUAUGUAGCAUUAGACCCGAAGGCAAGUGAUCUAGGUAUGGGCAGGGUGAAGGUGCAGUAACAUGCACUGGAGGCCCGAACCGUUGAGCGUUGAAAAGCUCUCGGAUGACCUGUGCCUAGGGGUGAAAGGCCAAUCAAACUUGCUGAUAGCUGGUUCUCCGCGAAAUCUAUUUAGGUAGAGCGUCGAUCGAAUACUCUCGGGGGUAGAGCACUGACUGGGCUAGGGGUCCUCACCGGAUUACCAAACCUUAUCAAACUCCGAAUACCGAGAAGUACUAUCCGGCAGACACACAGUGGGUGCUAACGUCCAUUGUGGAGAGGGAAACAACCCUGACCACCAAUUAAGGUCCCCAAAUAAUGGCUAAGUGUGAAAGGAUGUGGGAUUGCUUUGACAAUGAGGAGGUUGGCUUAGAAGCAGCCAUCCUUUAAAGAAAGCGUAACAGCUCACUGGUCAAGCGCUCCUGCGCGGAAAAUGUAACGGGGCUUAAGUGAUACACCGAAGCUGUGGAUUCAAUCUUAUGAUUGAGUGGUAGCGGAGCGUUCCGU
Molecule: ribosomal RNA, 1187 nt
Filed under: uncultured Pelagophyceae
Lineage: Eukaryota; Pelagophyceae
Description: partial Bacterial large subunit ribosomal RNA
Rfam family: Bacterial large subunit ribosomal RNA
Source: RNAcentral